AAAGGUACUCAAGGGCACUGUAGUGGAUGCCUAGACGUAUAUUACCGAUGAAGGACGUGGAAGACUGCGAUAAGCUUCGGGUAGCUGUCAACAAGCUUUGAUCCGGAGAUUUCCGAAUGGGGAAACCCAACACGAGUCAUGUCGUGUUACCCUUGUCUGAAUACAUAGGACAUGAGGCGGGAACCAUCUGAACUGAAACAUCUUAGUAGGAUGAGGAAAAGAAAGUAAAUAACGAUUCUCGGAGUAGUGGCGAGCGAAACGGGAAGAGCCCAAACCUUAUAAGUUUUUGCCUGUUCGCAGGCAAAUAAGCUGAUAGGCGAAUGCUUACAAGGGGUUGUGAUAUUACACACGACCAAGCCAGAGAACUUGAAUUCGUUCGAGGUAUCUGGUUUGCGACUACUGGCUAUCAACGGUAGGUAAGGUAAGAAAACGGCGUGGUUAGCAGAAUAGUUUGAAUGGCUAGCCAAAGAACGUGAAAGCCGUGUACGCAAAAACGACGCUGACCUUAUAUGUGUUUUAUCGAGUAGGACGGGGCACGAGAAACCCUGUUUGAAUCUGGCUGGACCACCAGCCAAGGCUAAAUAUAAUAUACGAUCGAUAGUGAACUAGUACAGCGAUGGAAAGGUGAAAAGAACCCCGGGAGGGGAGUGAAAUAGAUCCUGAAAUUUAGUGCCUACAAGGAGUCGGAGCCGGCUUGUCCGGUGACGGCGUGCUUUUUGUAGAACGAUCCAGCGAGUUAAUUUUUACAGCGAGGUUAAGUCAAUUGACGGAGCCACAGUGAAAGCGAGCCUGAAUAGGGCGUUUAGUUGUAAGGAUUAGACCCGAAACCGGGUGACCUAACCAUGAGCAGGUUGAAGCCACUGUAACAGGUGGUGGAGGACCGAACCAGGAUACGCAGCAAAGUGUUUGGAUGACUUGUGGUUAGCGGUGAAAUGCCAAUCGAACUCGGAGAUAGCUGGUUCUCCUCGAAAUAGCUUUAGGGCUAGCGUCAUGUUAGUAAUGUAUGGGGGUAGAGCUCUGUAAAGGAUUGGGGCGGGCAACUGUACCCACCCUUAACAAACUACGAAUACCGUAUAUGUAAUCAUGGCAGUUAGAACAUCGGUGCUAAGAUCGGUGCUCAAAAGGGAAACAGCCCAGACCAUCAUCUAAGGUCCCUAAAUAUACAUUAAGUGGGAAACAAGGUGAAAUUUCUUAAACAGCGAGGAUGUUGGCUUAGAAGCAGCCAUUCAUUUAAAGAGUGCGUAACAGCUCACUCGUCAAGAGAUUUUGCGUGGAAAAUGUAACGGGGCUAAAUGUAUUACCGAAGAUAUGGAUUAUUACAUUAGUAAUAGUGGUAGAGGAGCGUUCCUAUCAGCAGUGAAGCAGUAUUGAAAAGUAUUGUGGAGCGGUAGGAAGUGAGAAUGCUGGAAUGAGUAACCAUAAGAUAGGUGAGAAUCCUGUCGGCCGUAAGAGCAAGGUUUCCUGAGCUAUGGUAAUCAUCUCAGGGUUAGUCGGGCCUAAGCCGAGGCGCAGAGCGUAGGCGAUGGACAUCAGGUUAAUAUUCCUGAACCGGUUAAGUUUUGUACACUGUUCACGGGGAAGUAAUCGAAGCGGAUUCAUGGUUUAUCCGUCCAACCGAGCGGGAACGCAAAGGGAGUGAAAGUGAUUCUUCGGAGUCGCGAUUUUGGUGAAAGCCCUGGCUAGAAAAGCAGGUGUACGCGUGGACUUAGCCGCCCGUACCGCAAACCAACACAGGUGCUCGAGUCGAGUAGACUCAGGCUUACGAGAGAACCUUCGCUAAGGAACUCGGCAAUACAGCGACCGUAACUUCGGGAUAAGGUCUGCCCCCACUUCGGUGGAUAUCAGCCGCGUUCACUCAGUGAAUAAUAGGUUAAAGAGUACAUUUUUAAUCACAAAACGAAUUUUCUGAGACACGAGCAAACAAAUUGCUCUUUGAACGCGAACCUCUUGUAUCUAACGAUGUGGGGGCCGCAGCAAAAGAGCCCACGGAACUGUUUAUCAAAAACACAGGUCUCUGCUAACACGAAAGUGGAUGUAUAGGGGCUGACUCCUGCCCAAUGCUGGAAGGUUAAGGGGAGCGCUUCACGGUGCGAACUGAAGCCCUAGUCAAUGGCGGCGGUAACUAUAACCGUCCUAAGGUAGCGAAAUUCCUUGUCAGGUAAGUUC
Molecule: ribosomal RNA, 2166 nt
Filed under: human oral metagenome
Description: bacterial LSU rRNA
Rfam family: Bacterial large subunit ribosomal RNA
Source: RNAcentral